AACGAACGCUGGCGGCGCGCCUAACACAUGCAAGUCGAACGAGAGUCCGGGGCAACCCGGUAGUAAAGUGGCAAACGGGUGAGGAAUACAUGGGUAACCUACCCUUGAGAAGGGAAUAACCCGCCGAAAGGUGAGCUAAUACCCUAUACGCUAUCUUUUUUUCGAAAAGGAUAGGAAAGCCGGGUCGAGGACCUGGUACUCAAUGAGGGGCUCAUGUCCUAUCAGCUUGUUGGUGGGGUAACGGCCUACCAAGGCUACGACGGGUAGCUGGUCUGAGAGGAUGAUCAGCCACACUGGCACUGAGAUACGGGCCAGACUCCUACGGGAGGCAGCAGUGAGGAAUAUUGCGCAAUGGGCGAAAGCCUGACGCAGCGACGCCGCGUGGGGGAUGAAGGUUUUCGGAUUGUAACCCCUUUCAUGAGGAAAGAUAAGUGGGUAACCACUUAGACGGUACCUCAAGAAGAAGCCACGGCUAACUUCGUG
RNAcentral lists this ribosomal RNA (483 nucleotides) under uncultured bacterium. Its description in RNAcentral is "bacterial SSU rRNA". It matches the Rfam family "Bacterial small subunit ribosomal RNA", at positions 29 to 507 of the family's 1533-position model. The record is from RNAcentral.